Molecule: long non-coding RNA, 5240 nt
Filed under: Helianthus annuus (common sunflower)
Lineage: Eukaryota; Viridiplantae; Streptophyta; Magnoliopsida; Asterales; Asteraceae
Description: hypothetical non coding rna
Source: RNAcentral
GUGUUGUUCUGUUAGCAAUUUUCCGGUCGACCCUUCUUCACUCCGAUCGAACACCAGCAACCCUUUCUCACGAUUGCCUCCUGUCUUCGAUUUCAAAGAGCUUUGCUUACCGAUUCUGAACAGAUUCUUGGUCGGCUUCCUUCUCGUUAUCAAGCUGCGUCCAACCUGCUACUACUUGAUGAUUAAUCCGAUGAAGAAACUGCCGUUUAGAUAACCACGAUUCUGAGCUCAAUCGCAGGUUCUAACUUCUCUGUUAUUUAAACCCCAGUUUCGCUCUGAUACCAAUUCAAAGACGAAUCGGUACCGAACGGAAUUGUAAAUCGGAAAUUACAAAGUAUUUGGCUAACACCCAAACGUUUAUUAUUAUUCAAGAAACUGACUCAAAACUUGAAUUACAAUCACUAAUACCCAAAGCAUGGUAUUUAUAAUCUAAACACUCCUAUUAGACUAUAACUAGGAUUGCUAAUAAACCUAUUAUUUUGGACAUGAUAAUUAUCACUGAAUAAUUAAACCUAAACACGUUUAAAUAUUCUAUAAUUAUCCACUUCAUGUUUCCUCGCCUUACACGCAAAGGAAUCUUCUUUUAAUUCGAAAUUUCCAACAAUAUAGAGCCUUCAAUACAAUACCCACUACUUGCUAUUGAAAAGGAUAACUAUUCACUCAAAUAGAUAAUGGUAACCCACUCUAUUUUGAAUCAAAAGCGCUUGUAUCUACAUGAUUAAUUUUCUGAAUUUUAUAUUUAUGUAUGAUUCUUCAAUAAUAUACCGUUGCCGUAACCCAUGAAAAAAAUUUAAGAAAUUAAAUGUUUUUCAAGAAAUUGUUUAAUGAUUCUACUUUCUAGUAAUUCAUGUGAUCGUUGAAGCAUGAUAUCUCAAAUGUCCUUCAAUUUAUUUUCAUGGAAUCCAUACAAGUAUAAAGUUUUACUGAUCGUUGAAGCUAACUGUUUAAGUUAUGAUUAUGUUAGCUAUAGUUUGUCUUUAAACUGAGGACUAAUAUUGGCGAUCUACUUAAUUAACGUCAAUUACAGCAGCAUCCCUUUGUUCACAACUUCAUCAUUGUUUCUUCAUCACCUGCUAUACAAGAAAUUUCAGUUGUCACGUGUGAUACUGUUACAUUAUAAAUAUACAUUUUAUUUGUUAAAUUUAUGUUGGUGACUUACUAACGGGUCAAGCUUAUGGGUUGUGCAAUGAACAAAGAUGAUAUGCUAUGACUCUAUGCCUUGAUCAGGGUCCUUCAUCCCUUGUCCGUUUUUUACUUUCAGAUAACUCAUUAACCUUCUUCUCCUUUUACCAUUUUCAUAGCAAACUUUAACCCAAUAACUCCCAUAAACAUGACCAUUGACCACAAGAAUUUGACUUCUAUCUUUUGACCGUUGAGUUGAGUUGAGCUGCUUAAGUAAGCGAAUCUCAAACAUAGAACAGCAGAGUAUAUAAGGCAACCGAGAGACUGAUGAACAAAGUAUAUAAGCAUCCCUCUUACCUGUAGAAUACCUGCACCAUGACAAUUUUUAAAUAAUAAUCAAAAACCUGCCCAGGAAAAUCAUGUAUGAGCAAGAAGGGUAACCUCCACCGCUGCCACCGUCGCCACUAACCGCCAUAAAACAAAUAUAGCACGUGAACCUGUUCUGAUCCAACCCGUUUUGACCCGAACCUAAUUCAUUUCACAUUUUUUAUAAAAGCUGCCCAUUUUGACCCGAACCCAAUUUGACCCUUUACCCAACCCAACCCAACCCAACCCAACCCAACCAGCCCCAUACUAUCAGUCAUAAUAAUGACAUUCUAAGUGUUGGAUCAGGCCCCAUUCAAUCACUCAAGAAAAACUGACGAACAAGAAGAUAUUUAAUGCUACAAUGGUCUGUUUUUUCAUUGAUCACCAUACUAGGCCCUUUAAAAUUUAAAUAGCCAACCAAUACACGUACACAGUGAGAAAAAGUAAACAACUAACACCCUAGUAACCUGCCACUAAAACAAAAGACUCGGACUUAAACAACAACUGCACAAACAGUAGUUACAACUUCAAACAGCAAAAGGAUACACAAAACACUAUCUUGUACAGUCACUAUCACAUUGUCACUUCGGUUCCACGGGAGUAAGCACUAUCUUGCAUACAUAAACAUCUCACACAUUUUUUUUCAUUGCAAAUUAUGUUUUAAAAGGCACCACAUUAUCGGUUUCACAGGGAUAAGCACUAAGCACAGAAUGAAUUAAUAUAAGAAACUGCAAAAACUACUGUUCUAAUGAAACAUAGAGCUAGGAAUCAAUGGGUGGAGGGCCAAAGUCAACAGCAGUUGGAAUAGUCAAAAUCAUAUUGCUGCUAGCCAACAUCUGAUCUAUGUGGCAGGAAAACCUUAAUAUUGAUAUGGUAAAUUCAGGUUAUAAGCAAAAGUGAAGUAGGAAAUCAAAUUGGGCUUAUUAUUUGAUUCACAAAAGUCUGGGUUAUUCUUUUGUUAGACAAAAUGCAACGCAUUGUGUCACCUGCCAGGUUGAUGUUUUUGUUACUUGUUUUGGUCUGAUUUAACAAAUUGAUGCCCUGCUCCUCAAGACUCUAAACGCUUUAUCUUUUUGCAAUCUUUUGUUCAGAUAACUAGAUUAGUUUGUGUAUUUUGUGUUUAAAUACCAUGUAAUCUUCGUAUUUAUCAUGUUAACGUGAUAAAAUAACAUGCACACCAUGUGUUUGAUGAAAUGCUUGAACAAAACCCAGCGCGCGUAAAAUAUCGUCUGAGAUCUAAGUAAUGAGACGCUUGUUAUCAGUUAUCACCAAAGUGAAGGUAUGAUUUCGUUUAUUCAUGUGCAAUUUUUAAUAUUAAAUUAAUUGAUAAUGAUGCACACCACCUCUUUGAUUAAAUGCCUAAGUGAGUUCUUGGUUCCCAUUUGAGUUUACUUUUCACUUGUUGUCUGUUAAAUGGAUUCAUAUAUAUUAUCAUGUUUCACUUUGAUAUUGUAUAUAGCUCUUCUUAAAUAUGUAAUGUUUGUUUAUUAUUUUGGUGCUUUCUAUCUCAUGUAAUGAGAUGGAUUUACAUCGAUUCAAAUUUCAAAAGUAGGUUGUUGGACUUUCAUAGGUCAAAUAGAUUUGAUUGACCAUAGAAGCUAAGUUUAAUACCCUUUACUCAUACUAACUUUUGGCGUUUUGAUUUCCAAAUGUGGUUAAGUAUGAAGCAACAAAUAAUGUCCCGGAUCAAAUAUAUAACGAACUUGGAUUACAAUAUCAUAAGAGAGAUAAUCACCCCUUUAAGAAUGCAAUAUUGUUACUGCUAAACAGGUAUGCAUGCAGAUUGUUUUAUAUCAUAAGAGAGAUAAUCACCUCUCAAGACUCUAAUUGCUUUAUCUUUUCGCAAUCUUUUGUUUGUUCAGAUAACUAGAUUAGAUUAUGUAUUUUGUGUUUAAAUACCAUGUAAUCUUCAUAUUUAUCAUGUUAACGUGAUAAAAUAACAUGCACACCAUGUGUUUGAUGAAAUGCUUGAACGAAACCCGGCGUGCGUAAAAUAUCGUCUGAGACGCUUCUUAUCAGUUAUCACCAAAGUGAAGGUAUGAUUUCGUUUCUUCAUGUGCAAUUUUCAAUAUUAAAUUAAUUUAUAAUGAUGCACACCACCUGUUUGAUUAAAUGCCUGAAUGAGUUCUUGGUUCCCAUUUGAGUUUACUCUUCUUAAAUAUAUAAUGUUUAUUUAUUAUUUUGGUGCUUUCUAUUCAUGUAAUGAGAUGGAUUUACAUCAAUUCAAAGUUCAAAAGUAGGUUGUUGGACUUUCAUAGGUCAAACAGAUUUGAUUGACUAUAGAAGCUAAGUUUAAUACCCUUUAAUCAUACUAACUUUGGUGUUUUGAUUUCCAGAUGUGGUUAAGUAUGAAGCAACAAAUAAUGUCCCGGAUCUAAUAUAUAACAAACUUGGAUUAUAAUAUCAUAAGAGAGAUAAUCACCCCUUCAAGAAUGCAAUAUAUGUUUUAUAUGUUUGAAUACUGGUGCGCUAUUGUUACUGCUAAACAGGUAUGCAGAUUAUUUUAUUUCAUCUGAUCAACCUUUUUGAUGUGAUCUGCAAUACUUUAGGAAUCCAGUUCCUGUAACAACUGAAAUUAGUGAUCGAGGCUAAUGAUGAACCGAAAUACGAAUCGUUAACCGAUAAAAAUAACUGAAACCGACAUAAUCAAUCGGUUAUGCUCAAACAAAUAUGAUGAACCGAGCAUUCAGUUAGGGUUACGGUUAAUGUAUCUCCGUUAACAGACUUUAAGCGAAACCGAACCGAACCUUGUAUGUUUGUGAUUUUCUGCAAUAAUAUAUUGUUGUUGGCUGCUGUACACACCAUAUAAUCAUGUUGUUGCUACAGAGAUAUUGAUUGUUGUGUUAGACAUUGUGCAUAAACGUCAUGGGUUAUUCAGGAAGCAAUCAAUAAUUGUUGUGUUAGGCAUUGUGCAUAAACGUCAUGGGUUAUUCGACAUUGAUUAUGUCAACGUGACAACCAGCUAUGCACACCAUCUGUUUGAUGAAAUGCUUCAAUGAAACCCACUUCUAUGAGAGAUGAAGUAUGGUUUAUAUUGUUUAUUCAAUGUCUUACAGUCACAUAUGCUUUUGUUUGAUGUGGGGGUUUGUGGAUUAUAGCAGCAGCUACUUAGGACUUGUUUCUCGCCUUGCUGUUUGAUUAGAAGAAGAGAGGCACUUGUGUACAACACUCCUAAUGAUCAUGAGACAUACGGGAAGGGAUCACGAAAUUGGGUGAUUUACGAUUUAAGGUGUUGGAUUCAGCCAGCUUAGAGGCUGAGGCUUCGUCUGGUUCUGUUCUUGGUCGGACUGCAGAAAUGACUGCAAAUGUGUUGAGAAAGUGUAAAGUCGCACUAUUUCUUAUUGAUGCAAGAGACUGGUUGCAGCCCAUGGAUUUGGAUGUUGGAAAGUGGCUAAGAAAGCAUGCUCCGUGAAUGAAGAUUGUUACGAUAAUGAAUACAGCUGAAUCACUUGAUGAUGGUUUCGAACUCGUAUAUGACAAGUCUUCGACUCCAAGCUUUUCGGCCAUCUCCUUGAACUUGAUCUUCCCAAGAGCCUUCGUCAAAAUAUCCGCCUUUUGAUCUAUGCCACUAACAUGCUCGACCACAAUAUCUUCACGCUCAACACAUUCCCGAAUGUAGUGAAACCGAGAUUUAAUGUGUUUGCUUCUUCCAUGGAAAACCGGGUUCCUCGCGAGAGCUAUCGCCGAUGUAUUAUCAACACGUAACACCGCCGCUUGAAUUUUCUUGUCGAGUAAUUCACUAAUCAAUUCUU